RNAcentral lists this ribosomal RNA (458 nucleotides) under uncultured bacterium. RNAcentral describes it as "bacterial SSU rRNA". It matches the Rfam family "Bacterial small subunit ribosomal RNA", at positions 28 to 485 of the family's 1533-position model. The record is from RNAcentral.
GACGAACGCUGGCGGCGUGCCUAACACAUGCAAGUCAACUUGACUGAAGGAGCAAUCUGACAGUAGAGUGGCGCAAGGGUGCGUAACGCGUAAGUAACUUGCCCCAAGGUAAGGAAUAACGUCGAGAAAUCGGCGCUAAUACCUCAUAAUGCAGCGGAUCCGCAUGGAUAUGUUGUUAAAGGUUUACCGCCUUGGGAUAGGCUUGCGUCUGAUUAGUUAGUUGGUGUGGUAACGGCACACCAAGGCUACGAUCAGUAACUGGUCUGAGAGGAUGAUCAGUCACACUGGAACUGAGACACGGUCCAGACUCCUACGGGAGGCAGCAGUGAGGAAUAUUGGGCAAUGCUCGAAAGAGUGACCCAGCAACGCCGCGUGGAGGAUGAAGGUAUUCUAUAUCGUAAACUCCUGUGAGAGCAGACGAAAGACAGAUUAUUAAUCUGGAUGACUGUAUGCUCAGA